Molecule: ribosomal RNA, 310 nt
Filed under: Chryseobacterium sp. 12(2010)
Lineage: Bacteria; Pseudomonadati; Bacteroidota; Flavobacteriia; Flavobacteriales; Weeksellaceae
Description: bacterial SSU rRNA
Rfam family: Bacterial small subunit ribosomal RNA
Source: RNAcentral
UUUUAUUGAAAACUCCGGUGGAUAGAGAUGGGCACGCGCAAGAUUAGAUAGUUGGUGAGGUAACGGCUCACCAAGUCUGCGAUCUUUAGGGGGCCUGAGAGGGUGAUCCCCCACACUGGUACUGAGACACGGACCAGACUCCUACGGGAGGCAGCAGUGAGGAAUAUUGGACAAUGGGUUAGCGCCUGAUCCAGCCAUCCCGCGUGAAGGACGACGGCCCUAUGGGUUGUAAACUUCUUUUGUAUAGGGAUAAACCUACUCUCGUGAGAGUAGCUGAAGGUACUAUACGAAUAAGCACCGGCUAACUCCG